AGGUUCGACUCGAGCGUAGCGAGAGAACGUUGCGUCAGCAACGGCCCGUAGGGCGAGCCACGAAGUGGCGAGUCAUCCUCUAUCACCGACCA
This 92-nucleotide small RNA is filed under the name Klebsiella aerogenes. RNAcentral's name for it is "partial RtT sRNA". It matches the Rfam family "RtT RNA", at positions 39 to 130 of the family's 130-position model. Rfam says of the family: This family represents a bacterial cis-regulatory element known as RtT RNA. The exact function of RtT is unknown although it is thought that it may be involved in changing the cellular response in relation to amino acid starvation. The record is from RNAcentral. Lineage: Bacteria; Pseudomonadati; Pseudomonadota; Gammaproteobacteria; Enterobacterales; Enterobacteriaceae.